Non-coding RNA from Phasianus colchicus (ring-necked pheasant), 2968 nucleotides. The record is from RefSeq and is a predicted model, not a curated record. NCBI's taxonomy places the organism in Eukaryota, Metazoa, Chordata, Aves, Galliformes, Phasianidae.
CUACUUUGUAUUAAGAGGAAUCUCAUCAGACUAACACUGUUUAAGAAACUUUUCAUUUGGAUGGAGGUUGAGACCAAGAGGGGUACAAUUCUUAAAGAAAUGUAGUAUCUCAGUAUUGCAGCUACUCACAAGACAAGUGACAAAAACUGCCACUGACUUGGUGGGAACUGAUUCAGUUUUGAGAAAUUUUAGGGAACAAAUCUCUGACCGAUAUUGGUGGUUCUGAGUAAGGACAUUUUCUAUUUUCAGUCUGACUGAGAGUGGACCUAAGCACAUUUUGAACACAAUAGUACAGUUUCUCACAUCAAUAUUCUUCAUAUUGCCAAAACAGGUGGAAAUAAAUAGUAGGAAAUGUCCCAGGUGUCGUUUUUUAAAAAAAUGUUCUGACAGAUGAGUGUUAUUUCCCAUAGCAUGUAGUUUCCCUGUUUGUAGAUAGGAAGCUAUGAGCAAUCAAAAAUAAGAUAAGCUUUAUGUUAUAUUACUGUCUGUGUGUAUGUUACAGAAAUAGAAACAUCAUAAAUAAGAAGUGUGUAUGAUAAUCUGUGUCAGGACUCCUGUACGCAUUAUAAAGCAAGAGAAGAAGGGGAGAUGAAAGCAAUCUUAAACUGUUAAUGCCACAGUAGAAUCUAGCAUCAUUAGAAUAGGACUUUAAGAAAGAUCUCACUCCAACACAUCAACAGACCUAAGAAAUAACAAGGGUGGAAACCAUCAUUAAUUUUUUUUGUUAUUUUUUACUCAAAGUGUAAUGAACUAUUUUCAAAUACAGUAAUUGUUUGAGAUAAUUCACUCCAGAUCAUCCCAGAGGAAAAGCAGACUCACAGAAAGAAAGUGAACAUAUUAGAAUUUCACCAGUCUGGAGAUACCCUUCAGGCUGACCCAGAGCACUACCUGUUCUUUUCUAAAAUAGGGUCAAAUAAUAGGCCUGAUACUUCUGAGUGGAGUGGCCUUUCUGCUCAAUGAAAGCAAUCCUGAGCUGUUUGCUUGACACUCUUAUUGACUCAAAAGUUUUCAGUUGUGGAUUUUUUUGUGCAAAUGUAAUGAAGAUGCUAUCACUGAUGGUGAUGCUACCAAAGUACUUUCCAAACUGACUGGUUGAGAUCUUGUAAAAAAAGUGGCUUUUUACUGUCUCUGAUGAGUCUGAAGUAAGAAGAACAGAGUGGGGGGGAAAAAAGAAAAAAGAAAAAAAAAGAAAAAAAGAAAAGAAACCCUAAAUUUAAUAAUGUUAAUCUGGAUUACUCUUUGUUUCACUUUCUAAACUGUUAUACCAUUUUUGCUGUUCACAUUUGUAUCUAAAUAUGUUGUUCAUUCUCUUGCUCCAGGAAACCUUUAGAAAUUGCUAUGCAAUUUCUUCACCGUUGAUACAGUGAACUCAUCUGGGCAUGACCUCCAUUACAAAUGGAAAGAAGGGGACAGAGAAUGUGUGAGAAAGUGUGGAUUCAGAAUCUUACUCACUUCUUUCUGUUUCCUGCACUGACGGCAUCCAAUCUUUCUGAAAAAGGGAAACAUGAAGUUUAAGUCUACACAAGGAACACUAUGAUUGUCAGAUCUGAAUCCCUGGAAAACACAGCAUCUCAUCCAAGGAACUGCUACACAGCCUCGUGCCUCCAUGUACCACCAAUCACUUGCCAGUGCUGUGUCAUAAAGCUGAAGCCUGUGGCAGAAGAACAAAUGCCACAUUUUGCUUUUUUUUUUUUCAGAGUUCAAUUAACUAAGACCAGCAAUCACAUAAGACCCCGAAAGUAACUCGGAUUUUGUUGAACAGGACUCCAGAAGGGCCAAAAAAAGUAGAUAAGGGCAAAACAAAUACAUGCUUGCCUUCCUGAUCUGGGUUGGCUAAAGGCGCUGGAGCAGAGUAUGUUGGAUGUUUAAGUUAGUUGUGUUAUCUUUGGGGAGUAACAUCAUCGUUGCAAAUACAGCUCAGGUAAACAGAGAUUCAGGUUGUUCUCUGUUCCCCUCAGAGAGAAGAAGAAGCUCUUGAUCGCCGAGGUUGGCUGCUUCGGAGCCGCCCUGGGCAGAAGCACAGCGACUGAACGCAAAAUACACGGCAGUUUCGGCCGGUCCCCACAUCCAGGGCGCCCGGGAUAACGGAGCAGCCCGGCAGCUCUCGCGAGAGCGGCUGACGUGGCGUGAGCGUUGCCAAGGCGACGGCGGGAGAUUUGAACGGGCACAAACCCAGAAGAAACCCUUGAUCACCGAGGUUGGCUGCUUCGGAGCUGUCCCGGGCAGAACCGUAGCGAAUGAUCGCGAGGGAAAAGUGAGAAACAGCUGCCGCACCUAGGGGAACUGUAAGCAGUGCAUCAGGCCUCGUGGAAACAAAAAGGAAGCAGUAGAUCAUCUCAGCAAGAGCAGAAAAGAAGGAAGAAUGAAGAACGAUGUGCGAGGGAAAACGGAUGCAGCAAUGUUCUUGUGAACAUACUGAGAUACCAUGGUGACAAGCACAGGAGGUCAACCUGGAAAGGCAGCAUACACAUGCAGCCCAGAAGACCAACUGAAUCCUUGGCUGCAUCAAGAGAAGAAUGGCUAGCAGGGAGAGCAGAAGGCAGCAGCCCCAUUCCAGACAGCACCAACCCCACAACGUCACGGACACAUUAUCAGAGGCAGUCACCAGCUCCAGAAACCACCCUAUACUAUCAAAGCCAUGUCACAAGAACACAAAAUUGGGGUGGCUGCGUUCCAGAAUGAACUUGGCGUCAUAGCAACCUGGAAUGAAAACCAGAAGGGAAGCGAGCAAGAGAUCACCACCAGGAUACAAGAGUAAGCAAGGACUGUGGCGGAUAAAAGAAGACGAUGAAGAUGGAUGGAAGCUGCUGCUCCCCUGCCUCACACUUAAACACAGGCAAAAGCAUAGCAAGAUAGGGACACAGCAGGAUAUCAAAACACUCCUGUACUUACUCGCUUUUCUCUCCUAAAAAGAGGGCCACGCACCCCACAAUAGGUAAGUAACAACCAUAUUAAAAUCCACGUUAAU